RNAcentral lists this ribosomal RNA (465 nucleotides) under uncultured bacterium. RNAcentral describes it as "partial 16S ribosomal RNA". It matches the Rfam family "Bacterial small subunit ribosomal RNA", at positions 28 to 507 of the family's 1533-position model. The record is from RNAcentral.
GACGAACGCUGGCGGCGUGCUUAACACAUGCAAGUCGAACGGAAAGGCCCCUUUGGGGGUACUCGAGUGGCGCACGGGUGAGUAACACGUUAGUAACCUGCCCUUGACUUCGGGAUAACUUCAGGAAACUGGGGCUAAUCCCGGAUAGGAAUCCUUGCUGCAUGGUGGGGGUUGGAAAGCUUCGGCGGUUUUGGAUGGACUCGCGGCUUAUCAGCUUGUUGGUGGGGUAUUGGCUUACCAAGGCUUUGACGGGUAGCCGGCCUGAGAGGGGGAACGGCCACAUUGGGACUGAGAUACGGCCCAGACUCCUACGGGAGGCAGCAGUGGGGAAUAUUGCACAAUGGGCGGAAGCCUGAUGCAGCAACGCCGCGUGCGGGAUGACGGCCUUCGGGUUGUAAACCGCUUUCAGCAGGGGCGAAGCUUGUGGUGACGGUACCUGCAGAAGAAGCACCGGCUAACUACGUG